Molecule: ribosomal RNA, 429 nt
Filed under: Pseudomonadota bacterium
Lineage: Bacteria; Pseudomonadati; Pseudomonadota
Description: Proteobacteria bacterium partial 16S ribosomal RNA
Rfam family: Bacterial small subunit ribosomal RNA
Source: RNAcentral
UGGGGAAUAUUGGACAAUGGGCGAAAGCCUGAUCCAGCCAUGCCGCGUGUGUGAAGAAGGUCUUCGGAUUGUAAAGCACUUUAAGUUGGGAGGAAGGGCAGUAAGCGAAUACCUUGCUGUUUUGACGUUACCGACAGAAUAAGCACCGGCUAACUCUGUGCCAGCAGCCGCGGUAAUACAGAGGGUGCAAGCGUUAAUCGGAAUUACUGGGCGUAAAGCGCGCGUAGGUGGUUCGUUAAGUUGAAUGUUAAAGCCCCGGGCUCAACCUGGGAACUGCAUCCAAAACUGGCGAGCUAGAGUAGGGCAGAGGGUGGUGGAAUUUCCUGUGUAGCGGUGAAAUGCGUAGAUAUAGGAAGGAACACCAGUGGCGAAGGCGACCACCUGGGCUCAUACUGCCACUGAGGUGCGAAAGCGUGGGGAGCAAACAGG